RNAcentral lists this ribosomal RNA (432 nucleotides) under uncultured bacterium. RNAcentral's name for it is "partial 16S ribosomal RNA". It matches the Rfam family "Bacterial small subunit ribosomal RNA", at positions 29 to 506 of the family's 1533-position model. The record is from RNAcentral.
AACGAACGCUGGCGGCAUGCCUAACACAUGCAAGUCGAACGAGACCUUCGGGUCUAGUGGCGCACGGCUGCGUAACGCGUGGGAACCUGCCCUUAGGUUCGGCAUAACUCCCCGAAAGGGGUGCUAAUACCGGAUAAUGUCUUCUGACCAAAGAUUUAUCGCCUUUGGAUGGGCCCGCGUUUGAUUAGCUAGUUGGUAGGGUAAAAGCCUACCAAGGCGACGAUCCAUAGCUUGUCUGAGAGGAUGAUCAGCAACACUGGGACUGAGACACGGCCCAGACUCCUCCGGGAGGGAGAAGUGGGGAAUAUUGGACACUGGGCGAAAGACUGAGCCAGUAAUGCCGCGUGAGUGAUGAAGGAGUUAGGGUUGUAAAGCUAUUUUACCCGGGAUGAUAAUGACAGAACCGGGAGAAUAAGCUCCGGCUAAUUCCGU